This 285-nucleotide long non-coding RNA is filed under the name Ananas comosus (pineapple). RNAcentral describes it as "long non-coding RNA (ACOM_LNC016963)". The record is from RNAcentral. Lineage: Eukaryota; Viridiplantae; Streptophyta; Magnoliopsida; Poales; Bromeliaceae.
AAAGCUCUCAAAAUGUAGGAAAAGAAAGAUUACAAAAGUAUUCUACUCUUGAAAAACAUGAAAAUAAAUUGAUCUUCUUAUUCGUAAGGAAGAAAGACACUUAUUUCAGGUGUUUUUAUGUUAUUUAUAGUACUACUAUCAGCUUGCAGUUACCGGGCAACUAGCUUCACGGGGAACGCUGAAGUCGCGCUUUUAUUAGUCGCGGGAAUUACUCCCGCAUUCCUCGUCCCCAUUCUCAUCCGUUUCCGUUCAAGGGUUCUUUCUUUUUUUAGCGGCUCUCGGUGU